GAAACGCGAUAGUUAAUGUGAAUUGCAGAAUUCAGUGAAUCAUCGAGUCUUUGAACGCACAUUGCGCCCAUUGGUAUUCCAUUGGGCAUGUCUGUUUGAGCGUCAUUACAACCCUUCAACGUAAGUUGGUUAUGGGCUUUUCUGUGCUAGACCCUUUUGGGUUUGGGAACAGGCCUUAAAGUUGUAUGCUCUGCAGGCUGCUUUGCCAAACCAAAACAUAGUAAAAAUCUACUCUUGUUUACAGUGAAGCAUUGCACGCUCUGCCUGAAUAAAAACACAAAUCUUUCUUAGGUUUGACCUCAGAUCAGACAAGGAUACCCGCUGAACUUAA
This 331-nucleotide unclassified non-coding RNA is filed under the name uncultured Ascomycota. Its description in RNAcentral is "sequence contains ITS1". The stretch from base 1 to 105 matches the Rfam family "5.8S ribosomal RNA", at positions 50 to 154 of the family's 154-position model. Lineage: Eukaryota; Fungi; Ascomycota. The record is from RNAcentral.